RNAcentral lists this ribosomal RNA (478 nucleotides) under uncultured bacterium. RNAcentral's name for it is "partial 16S ribosomal RNA". It matches the Rfam family "Bacterial small subunit ribosomal RNA", at positions 355 to 824 of the family's 1533-position model. The record is from RNAcentral.
UGGGGAAUUUUGGACAAUGGGCGAAAGCCUGAUCCAGCAAUGCCGCGUGUGUGAAGAAGGCCUUCGGGUUGUAAAGCACUUUUUGUCCGGAAAGAAAUCCUUGGCUCUAAUACAGUCGGGGGAUGACGGUACCGGAAGAAUAAGCACCGGCUAACUACGUGCCAGCAGCCGCGGUAAUACGUAGGGUGCAAGCGUUAAUCGGAAUUACUGGGCGUAAAGCGUGCGCAGGCGGUUUGCUAAGACCGAUGUGAAAUCCCCGGGCUAACCUGGGAACUGCAUUGGUGACUGGCAGGCUAGAGUAUGGCAGAGGGGGGUAGAAUUCCACGUGUAGCAGUGAAAUGCGUAGAGAUGUGGAGGAAUACCGAUGGCGAAGGCAGCCCCCUGGGCCAAUACUGACGCUCAUGCACGAAAGCGUGGGGAGCAAACAGGAUUAGAUACCCUGGUAGUCCACGCCCUAAAACGAUGUCAACUAGUUGUU